ACUUGAUUGUGACGAUCUGGAUAAAAAUGCUGGUCAUCCAAACCUCAGUUCCACAAUCAAUGCCUGUGAUUCAUGACAGGUUUAUUGGCUCUCCUGGACCAGGCUUCUUAACAAGGUGAAGAUAUUUUUCCCUGUGUAGCACGAGGACUGGAAAUUUGUACUAUUGUCUGAUGCUUCAGAGAUGCUUCUCGGUGCCAGUUAUUGAUCCAUGUUGUUUGAUGACUAAGCCUGUAAGUCCUAUAAAGUGUAAGCGUAUGGAAGAUUGAUUCAAGAGUUGUCCAUUUGAACGGCAUGUCUUGUCCUUUGCAAAAUGGUAGUUUUGAUUUUCUCCCCUAGGUUACUCAUGCCCUUUCUAUAAAGAUCCAUAAGACUCAUCUACUUGAUUUUUGU
Molecule: long non-coding RNA, 390 nt
Organism: Balaenoptera ricei (Rice's whale)
Lineage: Eukaryota; Metazoa; Chordata; Mammalia; Artiodactyla; Balaenopteridae
Exons: 3
Source: RefSeq, a predicted model, not a curated record